Molecule: transfer RNA, 73 nt
Filed under: Micromonospora thermarum
Lineage: Bacteria; Bacillati; Actinomycetota; Actinomycetes; Micromonosporales; Micromonosporaceae
Description: Micromonospora sp. HSS6-12 tRNA-Gly
Rfam family: tRNA
About the family: Transfer RNA (tRNA) molecules are approximately 80 nucleotides in length. Their secondary structure includes four short double-helical elements and three loops (D, anti-codon, and T loops). Further hydrogen bonds mediate the characteristic L-shaped molecular structure. tRNAs have two regions of fundamental functional importance: the anti-codon, which is responsible for specific mRNA codon recognition, and the 3' end, to which the tRNAs corresponding amino acid is attached (by aminoacyl-tRNA synthetases). tRNAs cope with the degeneracy of the genetic code in two manners: having more than one tRNA (with a specific anti-codon) for a particular amino acid; and 'wobble' base-pairing, i.e. permitting non-standard base-pairing at the 3rd anti-codon position.
Source: RNAcentral
GGGCCGUUGGAACAACGGGAAGCUCACCCGGUUUCCAGCCGGGAGGUCGCGGGUUCGACUCCCGUACGGCCUG